RNAcentral lists this ribosomal RNA (542 nucleotides) under uncultured bacterium. Its description in RNAcentral is "bacterial SSU rRNA". It matches the Rfam family "Bacterial small subunit ribosomal RNA", at positions 772 to 1308 of the family's 1533-position model. The record is from RNAcentral.
ACUAAAUAGAUACCCUGGUAGUCCACGCCCUAAACGAUGUCUACUAGUUGUUGGUGGAGUAAAAUCCAUGAGUAAACGCAGCUAAACGCGUGAAGUAGACCGCCUGGGGAGUACGGUCGCAAGAUUAAAACUCAAAGGAAUUGACGGGGGGCCCGCACAAGCGGUGGAUUAUGUGGAUUAAAUUCGAUGCAACGCGAAAAACCUUACCUGGCCUUGACAUGCCACUAACGAAGCAGAGAUGCAUUAGGUGCCCGUAAGGGAAAGUGGACACAGGUGCUGCAUGGCUGUCGUCAGCUCGUGUCGUGAGAUGUUGGGUUAAGUCCCGCAACGAGCGCAACCCUUGCCAUUAAUUGCCAUCAUUUAGUUGGGCACUUUAAUGGGACUGCCGGUGACAAACCGGAGGAAGGUGGGGAUGACGUCAAGUCCUCAUGGCCCUUAUGGCCAGGGCUUCACACGUAAUACAAUGGUCGGUACAGAGAGUUGCCAACCCGCGAGGGGGAGCUAAUCUCAGAAAGCCGAUCGUAGUCCGGAUUGUUCUCUGC